Tinamus guttatus (white-throated tinamou) is the source of this 970-nucleotide non-coding RNA. The record is from RefSeq and is a predicted model, not a curated record. Lineage: Eukaryota; Metazoa; Chordata; Aves; Tinamiformes; Tinamidae.
UAUUUGCAAUUUUUUCACAACAAGAAACAAGGGAGAGAGGUCAAUUUGUACAGACUCUUGCCAGUGCUAUAUGGCAAACAAAAAUCCAAAACGUACAAAGAGUAAACAAGUUUUUAGACCACGUGGAUAGAUUAACAGCUGCUUUGACUCUAUAACCACCAGACAUCUGCAAAGGAAAAUAAAACCGAACUGUGGUUAUUUGGACUAGGAAGGCGCAUAUAUUGUUUUAUGCAAGUUGUCCACUAAAACAUUUGAAACUGGCUACUUUUCUCUAAGAACAACAUGGUAGCUCCUCAAUUAGUAAAGUUGCCUAAGAUUUUUUCCAAUCAUCAACCGACAGUAAAAAUUUUUCUUUAGAAAGGUGACCUUUCAGAAUCAUUUUUUAAUGCUAGGCAUUAGCUUUGUUUUUCAAACUCACUGGUGACUAGAAUUCUCAACUGUUUUAUUUAAUAUAAAUUUAUUAUCUUCUUAAAAACGUAUGCAGUUUUAUCUUCCACAAGUGCUGCUGUUACUUGAACAAAAACUUCUUUGAGUAAGUGAAACUGGAAUAAAUAUUUUUAAAAAAUUCUGCAGCAAGAACCUGAGACUUGCAAAAAACCCUUUUAUCAGAAACUUGCUACAAAAAAUCUGCUACAUUUUAUUUAAUCAAAUCUUAAAGUUUGUAACAAUUUCCAUCAAAAUACAAAAUGCUGUUAAUGUACCAGCCACAAAAAUAUCUCGAACAGGUAUGAUGCUAAUAAAUACUAAAUGAAACAUGGAAAAAAAAAUCCCACAAUCAAAUCCGAGAUCAAAGAAUCUCAUUUAAAAAUGUGUUUUCUGCUUGUUUUUGUUCGUUUUAAUCGCACUUUCCCACCUAAAAAAUACAGCGUUUCUGCACGGGUUGCAUUUAGAAGGUGUAACUAGAUGUACAUGAACACUUGAAACCUUUUUCUGUCAUUAGGGAUAAAGAAAAAAAGUGGCAUUCAGGAGA